AGAGAUUCACGGUCCACUUCGGUGGCGCGCACACAGGUGCUGCAUGGCUGUCGUCAGCUCGUGUCGUGAGAUGUUGGGUUAAGUCCCGCAACGAGCGCAACCCACGUCUCAGUUGCCAUCAUUCAGUUGGGCACUCUGGGGAGACUGCCGGUGAUAAGCCGCGAGGAAGGUGUGGAUGACGUCAAGUCCUCAUGGCCCUUACGGGAUGGGCUACACACGUGCUACAAUGGCGGUGACAGUGGGAUGCGAACCCGCGAGGGGGAGCAAAUCUCCAAAAGCCGUCUCAGUUCGGAUUGCACUCUGCAACUCGAGUGCAUGAAGGCGGAAUCGCUAGUAAUCGUGGAUCAGCAUGCCACGGUGAAUACGUUCCCGGGCCUUGUACACACCGCCCGUCACACCAUGGGAGUUGGUCUUACCCGACGGCGCUGCGCCGACCCGCAAGGGGAGCAGGCGACCACGGUAGGGUCAGCGACUGGGGUGAAGUCGUAACAAGGUAGGCGUAGAUGA
This 507-nucleotide ribosomal RNA is filed under the name uncultured bacterium. RNAcentral's name for it is "bacterial SSU rRNA". It matches the Rfam family "Bacterial small subunit ribosomal RNA", at positions 1002 to 1509 of the family's 1533-position model. The record is from RNAcentral.